UACGAAGGGGGCUAGCGUUGUUCGGAAUUACUGGGCGUAAAGCGCACGCAGGCGGUUCGAUUAGUCAGAAGUGAAAGCCCCGGGCUCAACCUGGGAAUUGCUUUUGAUACUGUCGAGCUUGAAUCACGGAGAGGGUAGUGGAAUUCCGAGUGUAGAGGUGAAAUUCGUAGAUAUUCGGAAGAACACCAGUGGCGAAGGCGACUACCUGGCCGUCGAUUGACGCUCAUGUGCGAAAGCGUGGGGAGCAAAC
RNAcentral lists this ribosomal RNA (250 nucleotides) under uncultured bacterium. RNAcentral's name for it is "partial 16S ribosomal RNA". It matches the Rfam family "Bacterial small subunit ribosomal RNA", at positions 524 to 773 of the family's 1533-position model. The record is from RNAcentral.